GCCGCCGUAGCUCAGCCGGCAGAGCGCCGGGCUCAUAACCCGGAGGUCGCGGGUUCGAAUCCCGCCGGCGGCA
RNAcentral lists this transfer RNA (73 nucleotides) under Desulfurococcaceae archaeon. Its description in RNAcentral is "tRNA-Met". It matches the Rfam family "tRNA". From Rfam's summary of the family: Transfer RNA (tRNA) molecules are approximately 80 nucleotides in length. Their secondary structure includes four short double-helical elements and three loops (D, anti-codon, and T loops). RNAcentral also lists the same sequence under 2 other names. The record is from RNAcentral. Lineage: Archaea; Thermoproteati; Thermoproteota; Thermoprotei; Desulfurococcales; Desulfurococcaceae.